CCGACCGCGCCACGUUUUCCCAACAGUUAAAAGGCGCCUACAGGUACAAGUGGCGAUACAAGUUGCCCCACUUGACGCCGCCGCCGACCGACGUGUCGAUCCGUCACGGGUCGCAUCGCCCCGACGUCAGCGCGCGGAUGCGGUGCGGCAGGAGGAUCCCGGUGGGGCUGGGUCGCGAUGGCCGGCUUGCGACCUGCAAGCGAGACGAGAGGAAUCAAUCCAUCUCUGUCCCGGCAGCAGAGGAGGGAAGGAGAGUCGUCGGACGAACGGGGCUUUUGCGGGCGCCCCCCGCAAGGGCCGGUCCAUCUCCGGCCUGAUUGGAUCGACGGUCAUAGUCGUGGAAAUAAAGCCCAAAGAGCCUCUCGACUCGCCGGAUCCACCUCAGCCGAUGGCGACACUGGCUAAUCAGGCGAACUAGGAUGGCAUCUAGUCUAACUCAAAAGGUUUGCCCAGGAUGGUGAUUGCUGGUUUCCGGAGAAAGGAAGAACGGUGAUUGCUAAAUGCUAUGGAGGAUGAGUGAAGCAG
RNAcentral lists this long non-coding RNA (525 nucleotides) under Hordeum vulgare. RNAcentral describes it as "long non-coding RNA (HVUL_LNC010829)". Lineage: Eukaryota; Viridiplantae; Streptophyta; Magnoliopsida; Poales; Poaceae. The record is from RNAcentral.